GCCAGACUCCUACGGGAGGCAGCAGUGGGGAAUAUUGCACAAUGGGGGAAACCCUGAUGCAGCAACGCCGCGUGAGUGAAGAAGCGUUUCGGCGCGUAAAGCUCUUUCAGCGGGGAAGAAAGAAAUGACGGUACCUGACUAAGAAGCCCCGGCUAACUACGUGCCAGCAGCCGCGGUAAUACGUAGGGGGCAAGCGUUAUCCGGAUUUACUGGGUGUAAAGGGAGCGUAGACGGCAGAGCAAGUCUGAAGUGAAAGCCCGCGGCCCAACUGCGGGACUGCUUUGGAAACUGCCCGGCUAGAGUGCUGGAGAGGUAAGCGGAAUUCCUAGUGUAGCGGUGAAAUGCGUAGAUAUUAGGAGGAACGCCAGUGGCGAAGGCGGUCUGCUGGACAGCAACUGACGGUGAGGCGCGAAAGCGUGGGGAGCAAACAGGAUUAGAUACCCCUGUAUG
RNAcentral lists this ribosomal RNA (450 nucleotides) under uncultured bacterium. Its description in RNAcentral is "bacterial SSU rRNA". It matches the Rfam family "Bacterial small subunit ribosomal RNA", at positions 330 to 793 of the family's 1533-position model. The record is from RNAcentral.